Molecule: ribosomal RNA, 519 nt
Filed under: Nocardioides sp. SAUK6027
Lineage: Bacteria; Bacillati; Actinomycetota; Actinomycetes; Propionibacteriales; Nocardioidaceae
Description: bacterial SSU rRNA
Rfam family: Bacterial small subunit ribosomal RNA
Source: RNAcentral
CCAGGCUCUGGGAUAGCCACCGGAAACGGUGAUUAAUACCGGAUACGACAACCGAUUGCAUGAUCUGGUUGUGGAAAGUUUUUCGGCCUGGGAUGUGCUCGCGGCCUAUCAGUUUGUUGGUGAGGUAAUGGCUCACCAAGGCUUCGACGGGUAGCCGGCCUGAGAGGGUGACCGGCCACACUGGGACUGAGACACGGCCCAGACUCCUACGGGAGGCAGCAGUGGGGAAUAUUGGACAAUGGGCGGAAGCCUGAUCCAGCAACGCCGCGUGAGGGAUGACGGCCUUCGGGUUGUAAACCUCUUUCAGCACAGACGAAGCGCAAGUGACGGUAUGUGCAGAAGAAGGACCGGCCAACUACGUGCCAGCAGCCGCGGUAAUACGUAGGGUCCGAGCGUUGUCCGGAAUUAUUGGGCGUAAAGGGCUCGUAGGCGGUCUGUCGCGUCGGGAGUGAAAACCAGGUGCUUAACACCUGGCCUGCUUUCGAUACGGGCAGACUAGAGGUACUCAGGGGAGAAUGG